ACGAAGCACGUGACCGACGGCGGGGCGCGCCUGCGCGUGCGUAUUCCGCGGCAGCCGAGCUCUCCAGGCUGCAGUCUCCGGCGCGGACCAGAGGAGCUAUGGAAGCGUGCAGGGCGGCCCGAGUGCGGCAAGGUGGCGACGCCCAGGGACACAGGUUACUGGGAUCACAAGCCUGCACCACUGUGGCUGGCCGGUGCUGUUACGAAUUUAAAGAUGGUGAACUGGCCAACAAGACCCCACUGUCAGGCCAAUCCUUGUACGACUAUGCUAGUUACUGCAGUUAGAGAAUAUAGGAAACGAAAAGACACACUGAUCAUAAGCUAAUCUUAAAGCGCUGGACAUGCACCACUUCCACUCGCCGUUGCUCAGUGCACACUGACGGGGACAUAACACGUGGUGAAGGCGUGAGCUCUACCUUGAUUUGCAAUCACUUCACUCAUCCCACUGCCAGUGACCGUCUGCAGGAAGGCGAAGUAACUCCUCCUCAGCAUCUGCUUCUCCAACGCCGCUGACUGGUCAUUGUCUUCCGCAGGCCGCAGCAGCACUUCAAAGAUGGCAUGAAGCAGGGGCAUGAACAUCUGCUGUAGGAAUGGGGACACCUGCAUCUGGAGAGAGGAACAACUGUUACCACACCGCAGAGGUGAGGGAGAAGUGUAAUGCGACGCUUUAGGUAGAAAAUGCCACACUAGCUCAUAAAACACACACACACUAGAAAAGACUCAAAGAUAAGACUCAGCAACUAUGGGGCUGAAGAGAUCUUCUGGAAGGAUCUUCAGUUCCCAGAACCCACAUGUCUUCUCUGGCUUCUCCAGGCACUGCACACACAUGUGCACGGGCAUGUGUUCAGACAACACGCCACGCAGUAAAAGCAAUCUUAACAAGUGCAGCUGUGUCUUAUAAUUCUGGCUGUUUCAGUAGGCAAAUGCACACACUGUUCAAGCUUGGGGACCUGAGUCUAAUCCCCAGAGCCCACAUAAGGCUGGAAGGAGACCCGUGUCCACAGAGCUCAACGCUGACCUCCAUGCCUUGGCAUGCACAUACACGAGCUAAUAAAGUUAAAGAUGAAGGAAGAAAAAGAUGAAGUAAGAAAUAACAAGUGAUCACAAUCAAAGUUGGCCAUGGGAUACUUUCAAAUUUAAAUUUCUAAGAGAAAAAAAUCCUAAGAAGUGAAUUUUGUACAAUUAAACUAACAUCUGACUUCCAUUAUCCUAUCUGGGCCCCUUCUUCCUCACCUAUAAGGCUGAAUUCUUACCACUUGAGGUAUAUUUUCAGGAAUACAGAGCAACAUCAAAAACCAUUCAGGGCCGAUUUGAACUUAAAGCAUUAUGCAUUGGCCGGCUAUUGUCCCGGGACAGCUCAUACUCGUUCUAAGUUCCUGUCUCUAAAACUGCCUCUGAUGUACUGGAUUACUUUCAGACUCUUAUUCCAGAAUCCAAUCAUACGCCAUGUGUUUACAGGUGGGAAUCAGUGCUGGACUUACUUGCUUCUCGGUAGUUUUCUCUUGCUACCAUUUUUAUUUUGCUGCUCUUGUAAAGGACCUAGGUUCUGUUUCCAGCUCCCACAGGGAGGCUUCCAGCUCCAUGUUCUGUAUCUCCAGUUCCCAGUGAUCUGACACCCUGACAUCUCCGGGUACCAGGCACGCACAUGGUGCACACACAUAUGCACAGGCAAAACACUCAUACACAUAAAAAUCAUCUUCUUACAAUCUAAAAAUCUACCUAGUCAGGGCUGGAGAGAUGGUGCAGAGGUUAAGAGCACCAACUGCUCUUCCAGAGGUCCUGAGUUCAAGUCCCAGCAGCUACAUGGUGGCUCACAGCCAUCUGUAAUGGGUUAUUCUGAAGUGUCUGAAGAUAGCUACAGUGCUCACGUACAUAAAAUAAAAUCUUUUUAAAAAAAUCCACCUGGUCUUUUCUGUGACAGAGAGCAUAUUAUUGGGAUGUUAAAAACGUCCCUAUGAUCCAUGUAACCAAGUAACUCCUCAUUCAGGAAGGCUGAGGGGUGGCUCCACCUGUAAAGAGCUCUCAGAGAUUGAGCCCCGACCCUGUAAUGACAGGUGGCUACGGUGGGGUGCACCCAACACUACAGCAUCAGGAAGAUGGAGGACGAUCGCCGGGGCUUACUGGCCAGCCAGUCUUAGUCCCAUCAGUAAGCUUUAAGUUCAGUGACAGACCAUAUGUCAAAAAAUAAAUGUGGAAGGUGACGGAGGCCACUGUGUGGCCGGCAUGUGUACGAGUAAGCACCCCCCCACCCUGACUCCCAAACCCUGCCAGCCAACACACAGUAGAAGGGGACAAAACCUCGAAGCUCUCUAGGACAUGCACACGUGCAAUCUCACGUCUGCAGAGUACAGUUAAUUAAGUCCUGUGGCCUAUUGGGCACCCUGUGGUACAUACGGUACCUUGAACUUGGCGGUGAUCUGGUUGAUGAGUGGAAUGAACUCCUGGAGGUCUUUCGCUUCGCAGUCUUUGAGCAUGUGCUCUGAGGCAGAGGGGAUGAACGGAAGAACCUCUUCCUCUAGGCAGAUGAUCAUUCGAUGAAGGAAGGUCCGAACCCCGCUUCGGAGAACGUCCUUUUGUAAAGGGCAGCUGAGCGCUGGCAAAAACGUCUGUAAACAGUCCAGGUAGACUUGGGAGCAACCGCACUGCUUCACAGUCUGCUUGUUGCUGAAGGCCUUGCUGGUCCGACUACAUGAACAAAAACCAGGCAACCGAGUUUCAGUGUUUUAAAGAAUAACACAGGGCUGGAGAGAUGGCUCAGAGGUUAAGGCCAUUGACUGCUCUUCCAAAGGUCCUGAGUUCAAUUCCCAGCAACCACAUGGUGGCUCACAACCAUCUGUAAUGGAAUCUGAUGCCCUCUUCUGGUGUGUCUGAGGACAGCUACAGUGUACUUACAUACAUAAAAUAAAUAAAAUAAAUAAAUCUUUUUUUUUUUUUUUUUUGGUUCUUUUUUUCGGAGCUGGGGACCGAACCCAGGGCCUUGCGCUUCCUAGGCAAGCGCUCUACCACUGAGCUAAAUCCCCAACCCCUAAAAUAAAUAAAUCUUAAAAAAAAAAAAAAAAAAAAAGCCUAACAGAUGGGAAAGUGGCAACACCAGGAGACCAGUGACUUCCUAUGUCAGAAUCAUGUCCACCUUAGGUAGCCAUUCUGUGAAAAUGACUGCUCCAGAUAGCAGUACAGAAGAAGACACUAAGUAAGUUAAGCAGAUCAGAUGCAGUGAAGCAUACACUGAGUCUAUCCAUAUGCUUUUUAAAAUCCCAUCUACUCUGCAAGAAAAAAAUGUAUUUACUGUGACUGAGCCACAAGGCAAUCUGUGUGUGCUACUCAGAAAUUUAAAAAACAACCUAAUCACACUCACAGCCAAGUUACUCAUCACCAAGCUGGGCCUGGCUCUUCUGCUGAACUUUAUAGUGUGGAACAGUCUCCCAGGAUAACUUAUUAGCAAUCAGUCAAUUUCCAUACUGUUAAUAAAAAAUGCAGGGAGAGAGGUGAACGGCAGCUUGGGUCUUUGAGACACACUGAAACGCCACAGGGUGUCAGGAUGCCUCUUGAAGGUGUCAACAGUAAAGCAGUGUUGCUGUACGACACUGGGACACAGACACUUUGGCUAGCCUGAAACACAAGACUGACUUACACUAGGGGAGUCAGAAUCCAGAGUACUAAGGAUCCAGACAGUCUUCAUGAUGAACAUGCAGCUAGCCAAGGCUCUGUCCUCUUUGCUGGCUGCAUGUUUAACUUACUGGAGAGACAAAGGGUUAUACGACCCUCCGAGUAACUGACUCAGCUUUGAAAACAGUUGAGUGUGUCCACGUGAGAAAGACCCACUGAAGAGGUUCUGCCUACUCGGAUACUCAGCUUCUUUCACCUAUACAGACACACAGCUUUACCCACGUGGAUGCACACCUUUACCCACUGGGAUGCACACUGUUACCUAUGCAGACGCACAGCUUUGCAGUUUAGUGGCACUUGUCUCACCUGGCGAAUCCAACCGCGUGGUUGAGACUAUCUGCAAGAGAUACUUGUCUCUCUUCAUCCUGGGCCAUCAUCAGCUUUUCCAACAGAACCUUAAACCUCUCCAUCAGUGGCGUCAAGAGGUCCUUCAUUAAGGCCUGCUUAUGUUCUGCGGGGUAUUCGCUGUUAACAAUCAGCGCCCCGGCUGUUUCAUAAAUGAAGAGCUGGUCGUCGCUACUCAGCAAGGACUGGUACCCAUUCUCCUACAAGGAAAUUUUUUCUGAACUGAAUAUUUAUGUUUUAGUCCCUCUCAGUUAACCUAAGCAUGAGAGACAAAACAUACAAUCUACCACAUUGGCUCUUCUAUCAAACACUCAUAGAGAAACGAAAUUUCCGCCACAAUCCCAGACUGAAGGGGAAACUUAAAACGGAAGCAGAGGUUCAAGCCUCAUGGUGGCUGGGCUAAGGUAAGGGCAUUACUCCCUGGUACCCUGCGUCCUCAUGCUUGAGGCUCUGGGAUAAACCCUAGCCCUGUCCACGAGCAAGCAAGCAUAUCAACUGAACUUCAGUCACGACCAACUCUGCAGAAGACCCUACGGUAACUGUCACUGUCUGAUACAGCAGAUUCUCUGGAUGCCAAAGUUGCAAGAGUCAGCAACUGCUGAGAGAAGCUGGCAUAAAGUGCGCACCAAGAGUGAUAAAUUCCAUUAAGUGAAUGUUACUAUCUUGCUUUCAACUCAACAGUGUAGGGGCUGGAGAGGUGACUCAGCACUUAAAGAGAACUGGCUGCUCUUGCAAGAGACUGGGCUUCGACUCCCAGCACCCAUGAGGCAAGCAAGCACACCACUGUCUGUAACCGCAGUUCUGGGAUGUCGGAGCCCUCCCCAUGCCCCUGGAGAUACCACACACAUGUGGUGCACAGAUAAGGCAGGUAAAACAUGCAUGCAUACAUCAAAAAACACACGUAAAUCAAAAUGUACUUAUAAACCAUCUCAACCUAAAUUCUUUUAAGACACUGGAAAGAUUAACAUUUUACACUAAGUCUAAGACGAAAACUUCAAACUAAGUAGCACUGAGGAUGACAACUACCAUCCCAACAUGAGAGUAAUUUAAAGUGGCAUCUCUUAAGUCACUGAGAAAUCAGAACACAGCCUUCACUGCCAACGUCCUUCCAUUAGUACUGUGCUUAUCACUUGGGAUCCGGGUGAACAGAUCCAGUGAACUCUAAGCACACCACCCCUCCCACUAUGAGAAACAAAGCUGGCAUCCGAAGUCUCGGUGAUACCUGGGGAGAUACUUACGGGUGGAGAAAGGGCUAAUAAAUCCUGUAUUCUAUUCAAUAUAUCCUCAAUGUAAGGAUUCAUUUGUUUACUGGAUAAAAUCAAAAGGGAGACAACAAGUAAGUUAGAUGCUGACAAGAUCAAAUUCCCAUUCAAACACAAGGGAACCAAAGCUUACUUCUACGCUGGCCACUCUGAUCGUUAACAUUAACUUACGAGCAAUUUAAAAGUCUGUGUGGUCUGCAGAUGCGUUGCCAGGGCAAUGGACCUGACUGUGAGCCUAGUAAGUGCCAAGUGCUAAGGUACUUCAAAGAACACUACAUAGAACAGACCGUGUUAAAGCAACUUUCAAGCUGAGCAUCACCAUGCAAACCCAUAAUCCCAGUGCUUGGAGGGAGACAGAGGCAGAGCAAUCUCGAGUUUGUCAUUUCCAGGACCAAGAAAACCAAUGAAAAACUGCACCAUGGCCUAGGAGGAUGGCUCAGUAAACGCCUGACUGCAAACUCGAUGGCCCGAGUCUGUCACCCUCCUCCCAUGGUAGGAAGGCCGUCUCCUCUUCUUCACAUGUCUGCUGUGGCAUACAUGUACUCAUCACCCCACAGACAUCUAAACCACCAUCUACCCACCCUCAGGGGCCCCCGUGCAUACACACACAGCACUAAAAGCUGAUACUUACUUGAGAGACUUGACAAAUCUAGAAAACAGGUAGGCAGUUCUGCUCCGGACUUUAGCACUGGAAUGCCACAGACCUCUGUGAUCUAAGAAAGCCAUCUAAGGAAGAGACACUCAUUAGCUCUGCUCUCAUUCAAGGACUCCAGUGUCAUACUGCCUUUUAUAUUUUAGACAAGGCUUCUCUGGGUGGGCCUGAUUGUCACAAAACUCGCUCUGUAGACCAGGCUGGCCUCCAGCUAACGGAGACCUGCCUGCCUCUGGCUCCCGAAUACUGAGAUUAAAAGUGUGCCCCACAGCCAACUAGCAUUGUACUGCAUUUCUGCUCACAUCAAAUUGUACCUCCUAGGCAGGGGCUAGAAAUGCAGAAGUAAUGUUAUAUUACACACAGGCCCUAAGGACUGCUUUUAUAUAAAACUAUGUCUCAGACUUAGAUAGCCUUUUAACUCUGAGAAAAGUUACAGACAACAAAGACAGAACACAAUCUGGACAUUCAAUCCAGAGUACAGUGCACACUUACUAGUGCACACUUACUAGUACACACUUACUAGUACACAGGGGAUGUGCUGAGGUUCAACUGUGAAAAACUUCUCAUAGCGAACGACAGUUUCAAAGAACUCCAGGGUCACAGAUGUGUGCUGGUAGGAACUGACUCCUGAUGUUACCAACUAGAGAGGAAACGAAGAAACCUAUUCUUGUUUACUGCAACAUCCAAAAGUCCCUCUGUCAAAACAGACCAAGCUCUAACCACUAAGAAACUCUCAGCACAGCACAAAGGGAAAACUGUUUCCGGUACAGGAUCCUCAGUAUACCUACCGUCCGCAUCAUGUCCUGCAAAGCACUCGCUUUUGACACGUCACCUGAGAAGUGAGCGCCAUGGGACACCGGGAGAGCUUCCGCCAGCAUGUACAGCAAUCUCACUGCUACUUCAACUUCCAUGAAGCGCGUGGUCUGCCAGUUCCUACCAAGGCACAAUAUUGUAUGUCUGUGAGACCUCAGCACGAAUGUUCUGUAGGACUUUUGAUACACAGGACAGUAACCCACCAUAAAAUCCUCUCAAUGGCACUUCCACACACUCCUGUAACCAACCCUAAUGACACUCAGGGUUACCAACACCAUGGGAGGAGACGAGAAAGUACGAGCAUGAGGGUAAAAGUGGUUGAAAUACAUUAAAUGCAUGUUGGCAUGCAAAUAAUGAAACCCAUUAUUACAGAUGGUUAACAUGCUAAUAAAAACCACUUUAAAAAGUCUUGAACAAUUAAAGAGUCAUGCCAUUCAUUUGUCAAUUUUGCCAAGCAAUGUAACUUAAACCACAGAGGUAGAGACAGGAAGUAUUUCAGAAGCAAAGCCGACUGUCUGCAGACACGUGAGGAUAGUGGAUGUUACAGGACAGAGAAGAGCUUACUCAAGCAGGAGGACUUACUGCAGCGUGGCGCUGAAGACUCGGCGAACAGAAGCCAGCACCAGCUCUGGCGACACCUGCGCAAGUCUGUCCAACAGUAACUUCAGCUGUUUUCUGUAUUCUACAAACAUGGCUUCAUCUUCACCCUGUGACGGAAGUUCAAAGCAUCACGAUGACUCAGCCAUUAGAAGCACUCGGGGUGGGAGCAGGGCACCAGCACCUGUCCUCGGCCUCCACAGCAACACCCUGGCCCACACUCACAACUGCACACACAAUAAUGAUACAUACAUCACUUACACCUCCAUACACAUACACCUAUAUAUUCAACCUUAAGAUCUUAAAAUUACGUAAGUGAUCAGUUACCUCAUACCCUUUAUCUUCUAAUAAUAAUGAUAAUGAUAAUGAUAAUAAUAAUAAUAAUGAUAAAUCACAAUGCUCAGCAGCACUUCCCUUCUGCUCGUUAACCAGUGAUCUCAUUAAGGCCUGGGUCAUAAGGCCUACGGAGGAGGGCAGGGUGAGUGUAAACAGCUGGUAUGGGUGCACAUUCGGUUCGAGACUUGCCUGUGGUCUCCGCUCGCCCUCCAGCCUCCCCAAGUGCUGACAGCAUCAGAACUGGAGCUACCAUAUCUCUCACUGUCACUAUGACCCUUUGAUAUUCAUUCCAAAUACAGUAUUUUAGCACAGAGUUAACCAACAUGUGCCCCAGUUUCCAGAGAGCAGUGGACAGCCCCUAACACAAGCGGGAGGCUGAUGCUCACAUCGCUGGACAAGACUUGAAGCUGAGCACGUCCAGGCAGGGAAGCCCCAUUCUCGCCUCCCUAGUGGGAGAUGAGCUGCGAAGUGAGAGCCAUGGGCCACCUGGUGACUUGAGGCCUGUUGACUGGGCCUCGACCCAGCACGCUGGUUAGCUGGUUAAAUGUAAACCGAGAUAAGGUCAUCGGUGAUAAGUUGACCGUGAACUCCAUGCUGCUUUUCUCUUUCAUUGCUAUAGACAUAAUCUAGGACCUGAGUGUAAUAAACAAAGGUCCCUCCGCUGAAUGCAUCCCAGACCCCAUCCCAGACCCCUCAGUUGAUUUUUUAUAGGAUUCUUUUUUGUUUUGAGAAAAGCUCUCACCAUACAGCCCAGUACGUAGCCCAGACUGGCUUCACAUUUUCCUAAGGCUGCCAACUGCUGGGAUUUCAGGCAUGUGCCCCAUUACCAGCUUAGAAAAUGUGUGUGCACGUGCACGCAUAUGUAUGCUUGCUCAAUCAUGCACACGCUUCGGCCACUGUCCUCAGGAGCUACCCACCUUUUGUGUGUGUAAAGCACGUCCUCUCACUAAGAGCUGGACUCGGUGUCUAGGCCAGGCAGUGUACUCCAGGGGUCCACCCUCUUGCCUUCCCUGCUCUGGGACUACAAGCAAGUACCACCAAAUGCAGCCUUCUACAGUCAUCCAACUCUGACCUCAAUGUUCACACAGCAAGCACUUUACCCGAUGCCCUCCUACCCCUCAGAGAGCAGAGGACUCAGGUCUCCGUAAGUGCUGGCCCAAAUUAACAGCGAUAUAAAUAACUACAUUAGUAUAAACAAGGCUGAUUAAAACACACUAUUGUUUUAAAGGGCUCUGAAACUAAAAUAUAAAAUACUAAUUUGCUGCAAACAAACAAUAAAAUUAAAACCGGUUUUUCUUUGGUGCAAAACUCCUCACCUCAUUUUCAAAGUUAUAUUCUUCAUCAUAGGUCAAUUUUUUCAUAACGGCCAACAUGAUUGCCUAAAAUUAGUAAUACAAUAACAUGUGUUAAUUGUUCCUUUUAACCUGGAGGUUGCUCUUACAUUUCAAGGUAGGUUUCAGGUAACAAACUGAGCAUCAGCUUUAGGUGAGCAUGACUCACCCACUGUAAGGGCUCAGGGAAUCUCACGGAAGCAGAGGGGGAAGUGUGAGGUGGGGUGGAGUCCACCUUGGAGGGAGAUUACUUGAGACUCAGGAAACAAACAACUCACAAACAGUCCCUAAAACUCACCAACUUCACUAAGCCCCUCCCUCCCCAGGACCAUUCACCCACAAAGACUGCAGGGAAAAGACUCUCCAACAGUGGUGCAGAGCACUCCAUGACUGCUUUUCAAUGAAGCAGCUCCCUCUGAACAGUAGUCCCUCACCAACAGCCAGGUAAGGAACCCUGACUGACCAGGGUUUAAAAGAAGUCACUUACCUCUACAUUAGCUUUUUGCUGAUCCGAGAGCACUGAAAGCUUAAAAUAAAAAGUAAACAAUAACUUUUAUUAGGUUUUCUGAUGCUAUAUAUCAAAGUAUUCUUUUAAAACAUACACAAUGGAGCUUCUGGUACAAUUAGGGGACAGGACAUUUUUCCAGCAUGCACAAGUUUCUGGUCCAAUAUGAAAAUAAAAUACAUAUAUUUCUGCUGAGUAGUUUGACAGCAAACCUAUAGUUAACAGCUUCCUAAAUUUAGAUGUAGUAAUUUUGUCUAAUAAAUAAUAUAUAGGCAAUAACAUAGAUAACUUGAUUAAGCUUUUUUUUUUUGGUUCUUUUUUUUGGAGCUGGGGACCGAACCCAGGGCCUUGCGCUUCCUAGGCAAGCACUCUACCACUGAGCUAAAUCCCCAACCCCUGGAUUAAGCUUUUAUGAAAUAUUUAGAAAUAAUAACACUGUAACGAGUGGAGGACAUUUUUGUUGUUUUGCGACGGUCUCACUAGUCAUGGUGAGCCUGACACUCAUGCUAUAGACCAGACUGUCCUUGAACUCAGAGAUCUAAAGGCAUGCACAACCAUGCUUAGCUUUCUAAAACAAAGCAAAUCAAACUUAGAAACCUAAGACACAACACUGUGGGAAGAUCAGUUUCUCUAAUGCUAAAAUCCCUUGAACUCUGCAUGUAAACAGUUAUUGUUCUAAGAAUUAGCAAACCCUGGGGUGGAGAGGUAGCUCAGUGGCAGGGCAUGCCGAGCACGGUCCAGGUUCUGGGUUCAGAAGCUAACCAGCCAGCCCACAGGGGGGCGAUGGCGCAAGCGGAAUGCCGAUUUCUGAGUACUCGUGAACUGCACAGCAAUGGACCACCAUGGAUUGCAGUGGGAAGGGGAAGGUGGUGCGUGAGACCCUGCCCCUUCUUGGGGGAGCUGUUACAGUUGCUAAGGAACAGAAAUAUUUUCUUCAAUGAAGCAGCCUCUGGUAAGUGGCUCAUGGUCCUGUAUACAACCCCUCGCCUACACUCCUAUAACAACUGUAAAUUCACUAAACCUCCAAAGGAUAUCAAAGUAAGACUUAGAAGGAGGAGAGGUGUAGUGUGUAACUAUAAAACAACCUGGGCUAUGUUCGGCUACGUGCCAGCAGCGGUGGACUCCCCUCCCCAACUAGGAGCAGCAAGCUCAGCUAGCUGAGCUGCUCAAAUCUUCCCAGGCCAUCAUCCCACUGGCUCUACUCCCCUAGGCCAGUAAAAUGAAAACUCCAGAGGCUAGUAAUUUAUCAGCCAGACUUGUAACAGUCAAUCUUCAACCCACAAAUGCCCACACAAAGAACUCAAAACUCAAUGGUUAUAGACACAAGCUGCGCACCUGGAUUGGACAGAUGUGCCCUGCAUUAUUCAGUCAUCCAUCUCAGGACUCCCCAGUUACUUAUGGCUCCCAGGACCAUGUGGUUUUGACUCAUCAUCCUCUCUUAUAGAUAGGCUCCAUCUUGUCUCGUUGUCUCUGUCUGUCUUUUUUUUUUUUUCCAGAGCUGGGAACCGAA
This is a non-coding RNA of Rattus norvegicus (Norway rat), 11016 nucleotides long. The record is from RefSeq and is a predicted model, not a curated record. Lineage: Eukaryota; Metazoa; Chordata; Mammalia; Rodentia; Muridae.